Small nucleolar RNA from Papaver somniferum (opium poppy), 72 nucleotides. RefSeq annotates it as small nucleolar RNA snoR60. The record is from RefSeq and is a predicted model, not a curated record. Lineage: Eukaryota; Viridiplantae; Streptophyta; Magnoliopsida; Ranunculales; Papaveraceae. The transcript has a single exon.
UAGCAUAUGAUCAGACAUACUCGGAUUCCCCUUCAGACAUUAUGGGUGAUGUAAAAUCGAGUUUCUGAUGUG